ACCAAGUUUCUCAUCCACCCUACCAAGAACUCUUCUUUUUAUUUCUACUUCAUUUAUGCUCCCCUUUCCUUAUCUUCUCGUUUUCUUUAUGGAUACCAAUGAAGCACCCAGGGCUAAGAGAGUCAACAGUCCAUUUCCUUGGGCAGGUGAGGAGCCUCUGUGUGCUGCCCAGGAGAAGAGAGGAGGACCACCAUGCAACAAAGACUACUCCUAAUUUACCACUCAGAAGCACUGCUUUCAAAGAUCCAGAGCCCUUGGGAGCAAAGGGGACACAGACUUGCAGCAGAAAUCACUGUCACAGGAAUGAAGAUUUCAACCAGAUGUGGAUCCUGUUUGAAGCAUCUAAGCUUUCCUAUGCUCAUCUUUAUGUCCACACUUCAUCUGCACAAUGGGAAUAAUUAUAUGGAGCAGAUUCAGAUUCAGAGUAGUGGUCAUCUUGAACUGCUGCCCAGCAAGUCCCCCCUCCCCAUGGACAAACUGCUGAAUACAGUGAAGCUUAAUAACCUCGAGGGGAAUUUUGCACAGGAAAAAUACCAUUUUGCAGAAACUGUACAAAUUUCAUGCAGAUUGGUGCUUCUUUUGGGAGGGGGAAAGACGCCAUGAAACAUCCAAAAAAAUUCACAGGAUUUUGGAAUAACAAAAAAUAAUGCCCAGAGAAAUCUUUCUGCCAAGAGUGAGAAGCUGGGAGUCUAAUUCUUAAUGCUGAUACAUGUUAACAUUUGCUCUUUAAAUCCCUUCACUGUGUGCAUAUUGUAAUACAAAUUAAAAUAUUGUUUUAAAGUGCUGCUUCUGUGCACUGGGACAUGUAAACAUUUUUUUCUUUCACCUGACAGUUCCCCUGCAAACUUUUUAUCACCUGUCAACCUCACCUAAAAAUUUACUAAAAAUAAGAUGCACUUUGAGAGGUAUGAAAAGGCUUGUGGAAACAUAUGGCAAUCAUAUGAAACUCCUCCCCCUCCCCCAGUUAACAAGAGCAGAAU
This 980-nucleotide long non-coding RNA is filed under the name Pogona vitticeps (central bearded dragon). Its description in RNAcentral is "lncRNA (ENSPVIG00000022647.1)". Lineage: Eukaryota; Metazoa; Chordata; Lepidosauria; Squamata; Agamidae. The record is from RNAcentral.